GAGGAUGGACACUUAGAAUUGAAUGUUGUAUUAUCAAACACAAUCACACAUUUGCACUAGGAAGCUAGAAGAGUUCAUGGUGUAAGAAGUAAGGGUGCAAG
Long non-coding RNA from Ipomoea nil (Japanese morning glory), 101 nucleotides. RefSeq lists it as uncharacterized. The record is from RefSeq and is a predicted model, not a curated record. Lineage: Eukaryota; Viridiplantae; Streptophyta; Magnoliopsida; Solanales; Convolvulaceae. The transcript is spliced from 3 exons.